This 468-nucleotide ribosomal RNA is filed under the name uncultured bacterium. RNAcentral's name for it is "partial 16S ribosomal RNA". It matches the Rfam family "Bacterial small subunit ribosomal RNA", at positions 28 to 507 of the family's 1533-position model. The record is from RNAcentral.
GACGAACGCUGGCGGCGUGCUUAACACAUGCAAGUCGAACGGAAAGGCCCUGCUUUUGUGGGGUGCUCGAGUGGCGAACGGGUGAGUAACACGUGAGUAACCUGCCCUUGACUUUGGGAUAACUUCAGGAAACUGGGGCUAAUAACGGAUAGGAGCUCCUGCUGCAUGGUGGGGGUUGGAAAGUUUCGGCGGUUGGGGAUGGACUCGCGGCUUAUCAGCUUGUUGGUGGGGUAGUGGCUUACCAAGGCUUUGACGGGUAGCCGGCCUGAGAGGGUGACCGGCCACAUUGGGACUGAGAUACGGCCCAGACUCCUACGGGAGGCAGCCGUGGGGAAUAUUGCACAAUGGGCGGAAGCCUGAUGCAGCAACGCCGCGUGCGGGAUGACGGCCUUCGGGUUGUAAACCGCUUUCGCCUGUGACGAAGCGUGAGUGACGGUAAUGGGUAAAGAAGCACCGGCUAACUACGUG